This 427-nucleotide ribosomal RNA is filed under the name uncultured Aquicella sp. RNAcentral's name for it is "bacterial SSU rRNA". It matches the Rfam family "Bacterial small subunit ribosomal RNA", at positions 355 to 774 of the family's 1533-position model. Lineage: Bacteria; Pseudomonadati; Pseudomonadota; Gammaproteobacteria; Legionellales; Coxiellaceae. The record is from RNAcentral.
UGGGGAAUAUUGGACAAUGGGGGCAACCCUGAUCCAGCGAUGCCGCGUGGGUGAAGAAGGCCUUCGGGUUGUAAAGCCCUUUAGGUUGGGAAGAAGGGUAUGUGGUGAAUAGCCAUGUACUUUGACGGUACCGACAGAAUAAGCACCGGCAAACUCUGUGCCAGCAGCCGCGGUAAUACAGAGGGUGCGAGCGUUAAUCGGAAUUACUGGGCGUAAAGGGCGCGUAGGCGGUGAAGUGAGUGUGAUGUGAAAGCCCUGGGCUUAACCUAGGAAGUGCAUCGCAAACGACUUUGCUGGAGUAUAAGAGAGGGUGGCGGAAUUUCCGGUGUAGCGGUGAAAUGCGUAGAGAUCGGAAGGAACGUCAAUGGCGAAGGCAGCCACCUGGCUUAAUACUGACGCUGAGGCGCGAAAGCGUGGGGAUCGAACA